RNAcentral lists this ribosomal RNA (1481 nucleotides) under uncultured prokaryote. Its description in RNAcentral is "partial 16S ribosomal RNA". It matches the Rfam family "Bacterial small subunit ribosomal RNA". The record is from RNAcentral.
AGAGUUUGAUCCUGGCUCAGAAUGAACGCUGGCGGCGUGCUUAACACAUGCAAGUCGAACGAGAAAGGGAUUGCUUGCAAUCCUGAGUAGAGUGGCGCACGGGUGAGUAACACGUAGAUAAUCUACCUUCAAGCCUGGAAUAACUAUUCGAAAGGAUAGCUAAUACCGGAUGAAGUUGAUGAAAGAUUGCCUCUUCUUGAAAGCAAUUGUUUGGAGAGGAGUCUGCGGACCAUGAGUUUGGUGGUGGGGGAAAGGCCUACCAAGACUGCGAUGGUUAGCUGGUCUGAGAGGAUGAUCAGCCACACUGGAACUGGCACACGGUCCAGACUCCUACGGGAGGCAGCAGUGAGGAAUUUUGCGCAAUGGGGGAAACCCUGACGCAGCAACGCCGCGUGAGUGAAGAAGGCCCUUGGGUCGUAAAGCUCUGUCGACAGGGAAGAAAAAAAUGACGGUACCUGUAGAAGAAGCACCGGCUAACUCCGUGCCAGCAGCCGCGGUAAUACGGAGGGUGCAAGCGUUACUCGGAUUUACUGGGCGUAAAGAGCACGUAGGCGGUUUAAUAAGUCUGAUGUGAAAGCCCACGACUCAAUCGUGGAAGUGCAUUGGAUACUGUUAGACUAGAGUACAGGAGGGGUGAGCGGAAUUCCAGGUGUAGAGGUGAAAUUCGUAGAUAUCUGGAGGAACAACGGAGGCGAAGGCGACUUUCUGGCUGAAUACUGACGCUGAGGCGCGAAAGCGUGGGGAGCAAACAGGAUUAGAUACCCUGGUAGUCCACGCCGUAAACGAUGUCAACUAGGUGCAGGGGGGUGUUGAUCCCCUCUGUGUCGCAGCUAACGCAUUAAGUUGACCGCCUGGGGAGUACGGUCGCAAGAUUAAAACUCAAAGGAAGUGACGGGGGCCGCAACAAGCGGUGGAGUAUGACGUUUAAUUCGAUGCAACGCGAAGAACCAUACCUGGUCUUGACAUCCCGCGCUACCCUGUGAAAGCAGGGGUUCUCUUCGGAGACGCGGUGACAGGUGCUGCAUUGCUGUCGUCAGCUCGUGUCGUGAGAUGUUGGGUUAAUUCCCGCAACGAGCGCAACCCUCGCCAUUAGUUGCCAGCAUUAAGUUGGGCACUCUAAUGGGACCGCUUGCCGAUAAGGCAGAGGAAGGUGGGGAUGACGUCAAGUCCGCAUGGCCUUUAUGACCAGGGCUACACACGUACUACAAUGGCCGGUACAACGGGCAGCCACUUCGCGAGAAGGAGCAAAUCCCUAAAAGCCGGUCUCAGUCCGGAUUGGAGUCUGCAACUCGACUCCAUGAAGUUGGAAUCGCUAGUAAGCGUGGAUCAGCAUGCCGCGGUGAAUACGAUCCCGGGCCUUGUACACACCGCCCGUCACACCACGGGAGUUGGUUGUACCAGAAGCGGUUGAGCUAACCUUCGAGGGAGGCAGGUUACUAUGGCAGUACCGAUAACUGGGGUGAAGUCGUAACAAGGUAACC